Molecule: ribosomal RNA, 490 nt
Filed under: uncultured bacterium
Lineage: Bacteria
Description: partial 16S ribosomal RNA
Rfam family: Bacterial small subunit ribosomal RNA
Source: RNAcentral
GAUGAACGCUAGCGAUAGGCUUAACACAUGCAAGUCGAGGGGCAGCAUGGUCUUAGCUUGCUAAGGCUGAUGGCGACCGGCGCACGGGUGCGUAACGCGUAUGCAACUUGCCUCACAGAGGGGGAUAACCCGUCGAAAGACGGACUAAUACCGCGUACACUCUAUGUUGGGCAUCCAAUGUAGAGGAAAUGAAAUUCGCUGUGAGAUAGGCAUGCGUCCCAUUAGCUAGUUGGUGAGGUAACGGCUCACCAAGGCGACGAUGGGUAGGGGAACUGAGAGGUUGAACCCCCACACUGGUACUGAGACACGGACCAGACUCCUACGGGAGGCAGCAGUGAGGAAUAGUGGGCAAUGGGCGAGAGCCUGAACCAGCCAAGUCGCGUGAAGGAUGACUGUCUUAUGGAUUGUAAACUUCUUUUAUACGGGAAUAACAAGAGUCACGUGUGGCUCCCUGCAUGUACCGUAUGAAUAAGCAUCGGCUAACUCCGUG